GUAGUCUCGCACAGAUGCAUAUCAAUAAGCGGAGGAAAAGAAACUAACAAGGAUUCCCCUAGUAACGGCGAGUGAAGCGGGAAGAGCUCAAAUUUGAAAUCUUAAAGGGUUUCCCUUUACGAAUUGUAGUUUAAAGAAGUGUUUUCUGUUGAGGUUUUGGUAAAAGUUCUUUGGAAUAGGACAUCAUAGAGGGUGAGAAUCCCGUAUUUGACCUUUACCUUUCAACUUUGUGAUACACUUUCAAAGAGUCGGAUUGUUUGGGAAUGCAGUCCAAAAUGGGUGGUAAAUUUCAUCUAAAGCUAAAUAUUGGCGAGAGACCGAUAGCGAACAAGUACCGUGAGGGAAAGAUGAAAAGAACUUUGAAAAGAGAGUUAAACAGUACGUGAAAUUGUCAAAAGGGAAGCGUUUGACACCAGUGUUGUUUUUCUGAAAAUCAAUUAAAGAACUGUUUAUGCUAAGUUGUUUAGACUUUAUCAGCUAUCUGUUUAGUUUUGAGCUUUUCUUUAAUGCACUUUUCAGUUAACAAGUCAACAUCAAUUUCUUUUGCUGUAAAAAAGCUUGAGGAAGGUGGCUUGAGAUUCGUCUUAAGUGUUUAUAGCCUCUUGCCUAUGCAGUCGGAGAGAUUGAGGUCUGCAGCGUAGAUCCUUCGGGGCUAAAUGCAUUUGUGCUAAGUUAUAGCAUUUUAUAGACAACUUGUUGACUAUGAUUUGUCUUGUAGCUUACUCGCUUAUGUUAUUUUACCUACGCUUAGGAUGUUGACAGCAGUAUAGACUGU
This 775-nucleotide ribosomal RNA is filed under the name uncultured Neocallimastigales. RNAcentral describes it as "partial large subunit ribosomal RNA". It matches the Rfam family "Eukaryotic large subunit ribosomal RNA", at positions 24 to 629 of the family's 3401-position model. Lineage: Eukaryota; Fungi; Neocallimastigomycota; Neocallimastigomycetes; Neocallimastigales. The record is from RNAcentral.